Molecule: non-coding RNA, 75 nt
Filed under: Paraburkholderia unamae
Lineage: Bacteria; Pseudomonadati; Pseudomonadota; Betaproteobacteria; Burkholderiales; Burkholderiaceae
Source: RNAcentral
GGGAGUCGAAUGAGUCGAGAGAUUCACGUUCGGUUCUGCGAGAGACUCGGGUGCAACUCCCCGAGUCUACUCACC